GGGUGGCUACUUAAAACAUGACUUGGCCUAACUCAAUGUCUUCCUAUUUCAAUCGUAACUUGGCCCAACCUGGCCUCCUAACAUAGGACAGAAUGUUGACUCAUUUAAGCCAAUAAUAUAUUAAUAUUUAUUUAUUUAAAAAUAAUUUAAAAUUUUAUUUAUUUAUAGAAAAACAUAUAAUGUGUUAGUUUUUAUUUAAUUUAAAGUGAUCUAAAAAUUUUUUGGGGGGUGGAGGCCGAGUUUACAUGAUUUUGAGGGAACCAAAUUUUAUAAUGUUUGGAACGAAUUUCCUAUAUGUUGCUUGUAUGUAAUUAAAGAGUAGAGGAGAAGUUGUGAUAUGUUGUGAGUAGACUGCCUGCUCUGAUAAUUUGUCGUAUCGUUCGUACUAAUAAUUAAUUCUGAAAAUUCGAGCAGUUAAAAAGAUGCAACCAAUUCAUUUAAAGUAUACAGACACAGCGAUCAUGGAUUUCGAUUGUAACUUGGCCCAAUCAACCUCACGCUACUUCGAACAUGACUCGAUCCAAUCCGACCUACCAUCAUUUCGAACUUGACUCAGCCCAACUUGGCCUUCUAUUGUAAGAUAGGAUGCUGACCAUUUAAGCCAACAAUAUAUUAGUAUUUAUUUAUCUUAAAGUAAUUUAAAAUUUUAUUUGAGUAAAGUUUAUACGUUUAUGUUUGUACUAGUAUAUUUAUUUGGGAAAACAUGUAAUUUGUUAGUUUUUAUUUAAUUUAAAGUGAUUUAAAAUUUUUUUUUCGGGGAGAGGCUGAGUUUACAUGUUUAUGUUUGUGUUAGUAUUUUUUUAAUUUAAAGUGAUUUAAAAUUUUUUUGGGGGAGGAUAUACGUUUAAUUUAAAAUGAUUUAAAAAGUUUAUUUUGGCCUACGAGUUUUUUGGAUA
Molecule: long non-coding RNA, 896 nt
Filed under: Ananas comosus (pineapple)
Lineage: Eukaryota; Viridiplantae; Streptophyta; Magnoliopsida; Poales; Bromeliaceae
Description: long non-coding RNA (ACOM_LNC006685)
Source: RNAcentral